UCACAUCUCUCUCUACCUUCUCUCUAUCUCUCUUUCUCUCUUUAAUCCGAUGAAAACUGCCACUCCCUCGACUUUUACGCCUCUUCCACCGACAAAGACACCACUAAAAGCCUAUGUCAGAUGAGACCUGCCGACCAUCCCAUUAUCGCCGUCGUCCGUACCUCUAACGCCGCCAGCCACCGCUGCAAGCAGCCAUGCAGCCGGCGAUCCUCCCAAUGCUGCUGCCACCUUCGAGGCCCCCUACCGACAACAAUAUCAAUGACCAAGCCGCCAACAAUACCAGCACUGUCGUCGCCUUCUAGCGCUGCCACUUCCCAAGCCGCCUUCCCUCACAUGCAACUGACACCGGCGAACCAGCAGCCCGUGCCACCACAACAACACCAACGGCCAUCCUUAUCUCUCACGCCACCACUGUCACUCCGACUCCCUUGAAUCCGAUUGGAAUUCACUGUAAAAUCAUUUACUAGUACAUGAAAGAUGUACCGAUGUAAAUUCGUCACAGGUUUGUUUUCAUUUUGAGUUUUGGCUAAAUAUUUUCUAUACCUUUUGCUCUUAAAUGGGUUCUUAGAUUCAAAAUUGGUAACGUUUGACUUUGAAUUUUUGUUUAAUUCCUUCAAAUACAUGAUUAUCUUCUCAGCUAGAUCAAAAUAUGUGAAAACGCCCAAUUUCUAAUGAUAAAAUUUUAUGAGUUUUGGUACUAAUUGUCUGGUUGAUUUACCAUGAACACCACAUGUUAAUUUGUGAAGUCCAUUUCGUCAUCAUCCUUCUUACUCAUUUUUGAUUUCUUGGUAGAACCGGUUCUUAGAAGAUAUUAAUGCUAUGUCAACAUAUUAUGUGCCUAUGUUACUUCUGAGUAAUAACAAAUUCUUUUUCUCUUUGUUUGGAAUGAGCGGAAUUUUUGGCAUGAUUUUCUUGGACAACCUUGAUAUUUAAAUAUUUAUGGUAAACAUAUAAUUUGUGUGUGAUUGAGAAUAUGUAUAUUGGCAAUUAAUUUGCUCACUUAAAUUUUGGAUAGACUGAUAGCCUCAUUAUUGCUUAUUUAUGGUAAAAAUUUCAUACAAGCUCUCCCUCUUACCUUUUCUGAUCUAAACAGAUUAUGCAUGAAUUGUUUAUAUGGUACAACAACAAACCCAGUGUAUUCCCACCUGGUGGGGUCUGGGGGGUAGGAUGUACGCAGUCCAUACCUCUACCUCUGAAGAAGUAGAAAGGCUGUUUCCGAUAGACCCCCGGCUCAAGACACGCGGUACCACACAAACAAAUAGUAAAGCACAGCACAAGGUUACAAGAUUACAUAACAUAAAUACGGCACCCAUAAGUAAUCUAAAACAAAGGAAAACACACAGAUCCAUAAUAAAACAUGGGACGCGGGCUCCUAACAUGCAUAAACCCCCACCAAGUAGUUCCCUACACUAGCGACUCAGACUGGCCCUAGUCCACUGCCCUGAUUCGCGUCCUCCAGACCUUCCUAUCUAGGGUCAUGUCCUCGGUGAGCUGUAACUGCUCCAUGUCUCGCCUAAUCACCUCACCCCAGUACUUCUUCGGCCUACCCCUACCCCGCUUAAACCCAUCCAACGCUAGCCUCUCACACCUACGGACCGGGGCAUCCAUGCCCCUCCUCUUCACGUGUCCGAACCAUCUCAAUCGGGCUUCCCGCAUCUUGCACUCCACUGGUGUCACACCAACCUUCUCCCGGAUGUUCUCAUUCCGAACUCUAUCCCCUCUAGUCAGCCCACACAUCCAGCGCAACAUCCGCAUUUCUGCCACCCUCAUCUUUUGGAUGUGGGAGUUCUUAACUGGCCAACACUCCGCUCCAUACAACAUGGCCGGACGGACUACCGCCCUGUAGAAUUUGCCUUUAAGCUUAGGCGGCACCUUCUUAUCACACAGCACCCCCGACGCGAGCUUCCACUUCAUCCAUCCCGCCCCAAUACGGUGCGAGACAUCCUCAUCAAUCUCACCGUUACUCUGGAUCACGGACCCGAGAUACUUGAAACUCUCCCUCUUACCUACCUCCUGUGAUUCCAGCUUCACUACUACCUCGUUCUCCCUCCUCAUGUCAUUAAACUUGCAUUCCACAUACUCUGUCUUGCUUCUGCUCACCCUGAACCCUUUAUACUCAAGGGUUUGCCUCCACACCUCUAAUUUGUCGCUCACACCCUCUCGGGUCUCAGCUAUCAGAACUACAUCGUCUGCAAAAAGCAUACACCACGGCACCUCCCCUUGAAUACGCCGCGUCAACACAUCCAUUACCACUGCAAACAAAAAGGGACUAAGAGUAGAUCCCUGAUGCAACCCUGUCCGGACCGUGAAAUGUUCUGAGUCUCCUCCCGCCGUCCUCACCUUAGUUUUCGCUCCAUCAUACAUAUCCUUGAUUGCUCUGAUAUAUGCCAGCGGUACUCCCCUCACCUCCAAGCAUCUCCAAAGCACCUCCCUAGGGACGUUGUCGUAGGCCUUCUCCAGGUCGAUAAACACCAUGUGCAGGUCCUUCUUCCUCUCCCUAUACUGUUCCACCAACCUCCGUACCAGGUGAAUUGCCUCCGUCGUCGAGCGGCCAGGCAUAAAUCCAAACUGGUUUUCUGAAAUAGACACUAUCCGUCUCAGCCUCACCUCGACCACUCUCUCCCAGAUUUUCAUAGAGUGACUCAAUAACUUAAUACCCCUAUAGUUGUUGCAACUCUGGAUGUCCCCCUUAUUCUUAUAGAGAGGUAUCAUGGUGCUCCACCUCCAAGCCUCGGGCAUCUUUGCCGUCUUGAAGAUUUCAUUAAACAAUCCCGUCAACCACCUAAGACCAGCCUCUCCAACGAACUUCCAAAACUCGACCGGUAUCUCAUCCGGCCCCGUCGCCCUACCCCUUCGCAUUCUGCGAACAGCCUGUCUAACCUCUUCUACCUUAAAACGUCUACAAUAGCUAAAAUCCCGACACUCCUCUGAGUGCUCCAGUUCCCCUAACACAAUAGCUCUAUCCCCUUCGUCAUUCAAGAGCCUAUGAAAGUACGACUGCCAUCUAUUCUUAAUGUGGCCGUCUUCCACCAACACUCUACCGUCCUCCCCCUUAAUGCACCUCACCUGAUCGAGGUCACGACCCUUCCUCUCCCUAGCCUUAGCGAGUCUAAACAACUUUUUCUCCCCUCCCUUCCCCUGUAACCCUGCAUACAGGCUCUCAAAGGCGGCCGUCUUAGCUGCCGUGACUGCUGACUUAGCCUCCUUCCUCGCUAGCUUGUACUCUUUCCUGUUUACCCGUUUCUCCUCUUCGUCCUUACUCUCCACCAACUUGGCAUACGCCCCUUUCUUGGGUGGGGUUGGAUAGGAAGUGUUGCACAUUAGUUCUCUUGAGUAGAAAUGUAUAGCCAGUCCAACUGAAGGCUGUAGCUUAGUAUGGAACUUAGUUGCUCAGAUUUUAGUUGGAAUAUAACAUACAAACUGUGAAGAGCCAUUAGAAUAUGCAUAAGAGCAUUAUUUCCAGGCAUUCAUGAGACCUUCAUACACUGUGAAUCUACAAUUGCACAAUGCCAAUUUAUACUUAUUGAAGACAUUUGCUUCUACAAAUAUUUAAUUGCUGAAGCUGAGAUCAGCGUCUUUUGACCCUACUUACAGAUUGAAAAUGUAAGGUUAAUAAGAUAUUAACAUUUGAGAACGUGUUUGACACUAGUUAGAUAAUUGUUGUGUACUUUCACAAAUCAGACAAGUGUGCAUACUAGUAAAUUGUUCAAGAAUAUAUCACCAAGUUUACAGCUCUAAUGAGGUAUUAUGCCUCUAACUGAAUCUUAAUUAAAGUAUUUUUGCUAUUCUUAUUUGGUCAAGGUAAAUGUGAUUAACUAGUCGACUUUCUUUAUUUUGUUCAACGUUGUCUCCAAGCAUGUGAAAGUUCUUAGUUAUUUUAAGUUGUAACUUGUCUCAAUGAUAAGAGAUUAAUCCGGAUCAUAGUAUUUGAGCUGCACUCAGACAGAGUGAAUUUUAUCAAGCGAUUGUGGUAAUUGUUUACAUCUUCUGUUGCUUGAGCUUGUCGAGUCAGUUCACCUUCCCCCUUUCCCCUUUGCUAUUGGAUCACUGAAACGGAAUGAUUUUCUUUUGACUUCAUUACAAUAUAUGUAUUCUUUGCUAAGUCAAGAUGUUGCUCAGUUCAUAGCCAUGAUGUUUCUUGAUGCAUGCAGGUAUGUGCAGCACUUCCAGGAGAAGGAGAAGUUAGAACACAGAUACUAAUGUUACAUUCCCCAUUUGAACGAGGGAGGACCUCUGUUUGUAUUUUUGUUUUGAACAGGAAAUAAUAAGUCAUGUUUUGGAACUUUCUACCAUCAUUUUGAGGAUAUUUACUUUUAUGGCCUAUUAAAUGCAAACUAGUUGAUUUUUGGUCUUUUGAAAUGUUUGUACAUCCUGAUUCUUGUACUGGGAUGGUUGGAUUCUGUAAGUUCAUCAUACUCAAUUCAUUUUGCUACUUCAUCAAAUGUUCCGUUCACCCUGGCACUGAAAUAAACUAUAAUGGCGGAGGAAUAACUCACUAUUUGCUCACCAAUGAGACAAUGUACUCAAGGGACAAUACUAUAUAUAUGUGCCAGCUCAUUUCCAUACUUACAGACAAGUUUGCUUUCUUGCACAUUUCUUCAGAUAUUGAGCAUAUUAAUUUGUUCAUGAUGAUGUAAAACUUAUACUUCCAAUUAAGCAUUAUUAAUUUGAUCUAGCUGAUGAGAAUGUUUAUGAAUAUCGUAGAAGUAUACCAUGCCAUAUCUUUCCACCAAAGUUGAAAUCAAUGUAAAGCAGAAAUUUUUACUAAUUGAUUGAACAAAACCAAACCAUCUUUCAACUUUCAUGGGAAAAUACUGACACUAAUAGAAUCUAUUAGUUGGAGAUAUGGAUUAGAAUGUGUUUUAUGAUGCCGGUCUUGAGACGGUAUCAAUUCCUAAAGAUGGGGAACCUCUCAAUUCGUAAAGAUAAAACCCUUAAUCAUAAGAGUAAAUUAAAACAACAUAAUGAAAUGAAGAUGUUCAACAUAGAUACUAAUAAGUUCCAUGCAAAAUAAGAAAUUCAAGCAACGAAGUUUCAUUCAACAAAGUAGAAAACUAAAUAUGCUAUUUGUAGGAUUAUGCCACUUCAAUUCCCUAAGCAGAUGUAAGAAAGGCUGUUCCAGGCUGACGUGCAGCAAGAGGACCAUGGUUGCCAAGAAGCUGCAAAAACAAAAGAAUAGGCAAAUAAGUUUUCACAAGCAAUAAAGUGCAAAUUGCUACUGCCAACCAAAUGCAUGGCGCCGACGGUCGGCGACGGCGCCGAAGGCCGUGGACCGAGAUAAAGAGUCUAGUGAGAGAGAGAGUCUAGUGAGAGAGAGGGAUUAAAAUAUUUUCCUCCUUUCUUAAUUGAUUCAAUUUACUGAUUUAUAUUAAUUGAUUGUUAGAAUAUUGUGUUUCCUUUUCUACUGCAAUUAAUUGAUCCGUUCUUGUUUGUUUCUUUAAUUAAUUAUUGCUACUACUCACUAUAUAAACAACUCCUCCUUUUAUUAACAGACACUUUUCAUCUAACACUUGUACCCACUACUAUUUAUAUCUUCCCUAUAAAAGUUCAAUGUAAUUUUCAUACUCUACGUGAUAACUUUGUGAUAUGACUAUAGUUUUAUUUAAUACUUAUUUGUUCUACCUUUCAUGGUGUUGUAUCUUGGACCCAUUUUUUUUUUUGUAUUCUUUCGCUCUGCUACUCUCUUUAUGUCCUAAUAGGUGAUAUUAAAGUGGUGUUUUGAAGAGUCGCUCGGGAAUGGGAAGUGAGGUGCCCACUUUAGUGUAGUUUAUUUUAUUUAGUAUGUAAGAAGUUAUUUGUUCAAACAUUAUUCUGAUGUAAUAAUAAAAUUGGGGGCUUUUCGUGGGGAGGGGUUAUUUCCUCUAUGAAUCACGUAGCUAACACAGCUUAAGUCUUCGUGCUUUAUGUACUACGUGAAUCACCUAGUUAAACAUAAUUUAGGAUUCAUUAAUUAAAUUGCUUAUCACUUAGAAAUCAUGAUUUUAGGAGUUUAACUAAUUUUGCACUAUCAAAUUAUGUUUGAAUAUGUCAACUUAGCUUACAACGUAUUUUACUUUUGGCAUGUUUAACAAAGUUUGACAUUUUACGAACGAUAUUUCCAAUUCCAGCAUUUUAAAACUGUUUUCCAGCAUAUAAAUAUUAAGUUCCAGUAUGUUAAAUCAGGCGACAACAUAAAAGAUUCAUGUUCAACGUUUGUAUGUCUUUUAUUAAUUUAUAGCAUAUUUAAACUAUCUCUCCACAUGUAAAACCAUUUUUAGUCCACUAAACUUAAUUUUCAGUAAUUUUUCAACAUGCCCGUAUUAAUUUUCAGAAGAAAUAAAUGUUUCCAGUAACAAAAGGUUAGGCUACAACAUGAUUAGUUAUUUUUGAGCAUGCGAAUAUGUAUCCUUGGCAUUCUAAAAUUAAUUUUUAGCAUUUUGAAUAUGUUUGCAUAAUAGAAUUAACAAUUGUCACUCCCCAACACAUUUACUUGACUUUUACAUGCCUUUUAACAAAUUCACAACAUACUUUUGAAGCAUUUACUAAUCCCCUCUCGACAUAGCAAUUACUUUCCACUUAGACAUCAUGCAAUAGGUUAACCUAAAAAAAAUAAUUACUUGUCUUGUAUGUUAAUCACAUUAAUCACUCUUUAAUUAAUUAAGAGGCUAACUUGAGACAUUACAUGUUACUUGACGUCCUUUUGUUUUACACACUUUGAUUCCUAGGAAAUAUAGCUUUGAUUCGUCUAGACUACAAAUCUAAAUUAGCAAAGCCCAAUGCGUCUUGGGCGAUUGAUGGGGCGAUAGACAUUUCUAGAGGCAUUAGAUUUAUCCCCUUUUUAGUGCGUCUUUAGGUUAACAACCAACCUAGAUGGGAUGGGGUGGGUAGCUAUUCGGAAGUGAUGAUACCCAAAGACAUUACACUAUGUUUUACACUCUUACUUGUUUAAGAAUCCGACUAGUGGGCCAAAUAAUGAUUAACAAGUUAGGAUUCUGAUCCGAAUGAGACUAACAACUAUUCUUUGUUUGAUUUUGAGUAUUCUUUUUUUUUUUUAUGUUUACUUUACAUGCUUAUUUGCUUGUGGUAGUUUAGGUUUUUAAAUUAAUAAAUAUUUUGUUAUAAAUUGCUUUCCUUCAAUCUCUUUGCUUAUCUCCUUUACAUUAUUUGUCAUCUUUUUUUUAUCUCCACCUAGUUAAUAAUUAGAAAUAAAUAACAUGUUUUUUUAUUAAUUACUUUAUCACUUAGUUAACAUUUAAUUUAAAGAAACAAGCGACUUUUAUUUAUCACAUUGAAUCCCCACGUAAAAUAUGAAUUUGGCUGGAAACCACCUUUGUGGACCUCAAAAGGGGCUUAACGCCUACCUUUCGAGGUAAUUUGAACCCUUAUCUGAAUUUCUUGUGAACUAAGACUAAAUAAUAACAUAGGUUCGUAGUUGGCCUAGAUUGGUGCCCUAACACACCUUAAUGCAUUAGGUGGCGACUCUUCACAUUCACCCUUAAACAAUCCCAAAAAGAGUGUCGAAUCCCACUUUUUGCGAGAAAAAUAAGGUGCGACAGAAUGGAGUCUCUGCCGGGGAUCUUAGGUUCUAACCUUUCUGAGUUUGUAUUCUUACCUGGGAUUCUAUUGUUUGCCUGAAUUUUUUUUUUAUUGUGAUUUUUUAUGAUUAUUGUUUGUUUUGACAUCUUAAUUUAUUUUUUCCCACAUGUUAUUCCUUCUCCUUUUAUGUGUUUUUCAUAUUUCUCCAUGCCCCUCCCCUCUUCUUCCUUUAUCGGCUAUAUGCUUUAAUGUUUAUUUACUUUUAUUUUCUAAGCAUGUUAUUAUAUUUUGCUUUGUGCUAUAUGUUACUGAUUUAUUGUAACUAGCAUUCAGCUCAUAUUUUCCUCCAGUUGGAACCUUUUUUUUAUUUUUACGAAUGGUUGUAUGGUUGCACGGACGUUCUUUCCUAAAACACCUUUCGAAAAAUGCCUUGUAAAUUGAUCGAUCAGUGGUGCGUCGACAGUCACAAGCUCUCCCACUCUCGAAUUGUCUACUCGAGGGAACCAUGUCAUAAACCCACUCUUGUCCUUUAGGUCUUGGCUAUAUAUUUAUUUUACUAAGAAAUAUGCGUCUCAUUCAACCUAGGAUGCCUUGGCACCCUUGAUGGUUGAAUGUUAAGUCUCUUUCAAAGUCCAAAGGGGUUCACAACCCUGAAGGACGCAUAAUACUAUUUGCUACAUAUUGCAUUUCUAUCUUGUUAUUUUCAUUCUUGUAUUAGUCGCUCCUUAUUCUUAGUUUUUUUUUUUAAUUUUUGAGUCCAUUACUCUCAAAAAUUUUUCCAUGUUAGGACCCUACAAUACACUCUUAGGGUCUGUGUAAAACCCUCGCUUCAUUUAGUACAACUUGUCAUUUUAGGAUAUCCUCUUCCUAUUGCUUCCAACGUUUACAUACUUUUGUCCUGCCGUGAUCCUUUUGAAGUUGUCAUACUCAUGUCAUACUCUAGUUUUCACAACCUCUAAGAGGCAUAGAGAUCUAAUAACUUCUAUUCUCCGAAUGAGCAUAACUCAUUAUUUUCAAAUGAGUAGGAUAUUCAUUUUGGACUUUUAUGCGUACACUUUGUUCCUAAUUAUAAAUUCUUUCUUCUAAGGUUGACUAAAGUUGAACUUCAGAAAUUUCUAGUCAAGCAAUGUUUAUCAAUCAUGUCAAUAGCAAAGCUGAGCAUGAAAACUUGGGGUUGCAUAAAAAUAAAGUUAUUUCGAGCAUCAGAAGGCUAGAAACAAGAAUAGGGAGAAUUAGAGGAAUAGUGACUGAUCUUCAAGGUUUAGUUGAGAUGCCACCAGGUUUUCCAGAGCCGCUAUCUGAAAUGGACUUUAACACCCCCAUCCACACUACGAAGUCUCCUAUAUUGACAACUUCACCUAUGCCUUAUUGUGAUACACACAUGUGUCCAAGUCAUUUUUUAAUUGUGUUGCUAAAAGAACUUAUUGGGUUGAAAAAUACGAGUAAGGACAAGGAGACAGAAGGAUAGGCUUCUAACCAUGAGGCAGAAUUAUCUCAACAGCCCAAAAUGCAUAAGUCAUCCAAAUCAAGAGAAGAAGACAAUGAUAGAAUCGAGGGUUUGAACUUUCCAUUAUAUGAUGGGUCAUGAAAACCUCAUUGCCAUUUGAAUAAGCACCUUGACAAGCUAUCAGUUAUAGGACGAAGUAAUAGCCCGAAGACGAAACUCUUUGUUAGUUCACUUAAGGGUCCAGCAUUUAUGUGGUAUGCUGAAAAAAAUACUAGCAAGUGCGUCUCUUAGGAUCAUUUUGAAACUGGAUUUGUUAGGCAGUUUGGCAAUAACCUAAAAAGGAAGCUCACAGUAGAGGCAAAUUUGGUUAAGCCACAAUACAAGGAUAAGGGAAAGACGAUCACCGACGAGACAUCCAAUUCUCCAAAGCCUGAAGUAAGCGUACCCAACCUCAACUCAUAUGGUACCCAACUCUAGAAUUCAUUCCAACAUGCAAUUAUGUCCAAGCUUAUUAUCCCCGAUCCUUCACAAAAUAUCCUCCUCAAACUAUUCGGUACCCACAUCCAUCCGCUGCUUCAAAAUCAAACUACAUUCAAGUUUCUUAUCAAAACCUACCCACAAAUCAAUAAUCUAACCAGUUUACCAGACCUCAACAUAAGCGGUAGAAAAACACACCAAAAUAGUACACUCCUCUAGGUGAACCCGUAGAACAGUUGUAUGAACCACUCAAGAAGACAGGCUACAUCACGCCCAUUGCUGUCAUACCUUGCCUACUAAGGAGUGCUUCACCUUGAAGAAGAUAAUCCAGAAGUUGAUUGGCACCAAGGUGAUAAUUGUGAGUAAACAAAAUAGGGAUGUAUUUUGAUUUUCUAAACUUGACUAGAACUUACUGACAUUAGUGUAGAGGAUAUCAUGGUGAUUCUCCGCUUAAGACUCCCAAAUUCAUUUAAGUUUUAUAAUUUGCGGUUUUCUUUUAUGCUUUCCUUGCUUAUGUAAUUUGAACUAUGAUUGACCUGAUUCCCCUAUAUGAGGGAUACGUAGGCGCUUAUUUAAUGAGUUCAGUCUCUUCAUAAUAAAAUUUUCUUUUUCCCCAUUUCAUCAUUUUAUAUACGGAUUUGGAUGAAUCAACAUUCUGAAAUAUGAAUCAACAAAUCAGAUGUUCAACAAAACCCGACCUUGUCAAUUCUCUUAACUUUCUUAUCUUCUUCACAAUCAAUUUCAGCAUCAUAUUCCUAUCAUCUGUUUCGUGCGUUAUAAGCUCUGAUUUUUAUGCCUAAGCCAAUUAUUAAGCCCUAUAUUUCAUCCUAGAAUGCCUUUAUUUUAUGUUUAUUAUGUUUUGAACUUAUAUGUUCUAUGUGGUAACUUUCGUUUGGGCUUGUUUAUUUUGUUUAAAGGUUGUCUAGCAUUUGAACAUCGAUCUCAAUUAAAUCUCCAAUAUGACAAAUAUACUUAAUAUCCGAAAAGACUCCAGCCCUCCUUCUCCUCGCCCAAGAUAAAACACUAUGCCUCCUUAUCCUCGCCUUACGCACAUACCCUCUCACCAAUUUCCUUAUGCCUAUGAGAGAAUUUAUUUAGAUGUACGUCAUCAAAGGCUUCAUGACCUAGAGAAAAGGUUAAAUGAGGAUCUGCAUUUUAGGGAUAUUUACGACAUGAGGUAUGAGAAGAUGUGUCUACACCCAAAAAUUAGUUUACCUCUGGGAUACAAAGUUCCAAAGUUUAACAUGUUUAAUGGGAGUGGAGGUCCAAUCACACAUCUAAUGAACUACUGUGGAAGACUAGUUGGCCUAGGAUAUCAUGAGGCUCUUCUGAUGAGAUUAUUUGUUCAAAGCCUAUCAGGAAUGGCACUCACAUGGUUCGCCCAACAAGAUUUUGACAAAUGGCAUGAUUGGGAUGAAUUGACUCAAGAUUGUGUAAGGUAAUAUAAGUUUAACAUCAAUACCAGUCAACUAAUAUGGGAUUUCCUUGAGGUAAAAAAAAUGGACCAUAAAUCUUUUAAGGAGUAUGCAAUAUGGUGGCGGUUAGAAGCUUCUAAGAUAUGUCCUUCCGUACCUGAAGAGGAGUUGGUCUAAAAUUUCCUCAGAUCACUAGAUGGAAUAUACUUUUAGAAAAUAUUCUUCCUAACCAGUCACAAUUUUGAGAGUCUAAUUUCGAUUGGAAAGAAACUAGAAUACAAAAUUUGAGCGGGGAGAAUAAUUGAUGUUUUUGCAAAGUUGGCCACUUUUUCAAAAAUUAAAGAGUCCAUUCGAGGAAGGCAAAGGAGAUUCAUCACCUUCCAUGCCUUAGCCCCAAGGCUAUCAGAAUAAUGAAGGGAUUCAGGCUAUUUUUGGUUCUCGUAGGGUACAUAUUGAACCUUAUGAAUCAAAAGAUUCUCAAAGCAAGGCUUGUCAGAUCCAACCCUACUCUAUCCAGUAAGAAACUUCUUGAACAUAACCCAGCUUUCAAUAAGGGCCUUAUCCAGUGCAUAAUGCUUUCCAUCAAUCGAAGAGAGUGAGAUCUCGAGCUUUUAUUCCCCUGAAUGAGCCCUUGGUGAACAUAUUCAAAAGAUUAAGGGGCCAAGGUAUCAUGGAACCGAGGAGAGGAUGGAUCCCUGUACAUCCACCCCCUCAUUUUGAUCUAUCUAAAAAUUAUGCUUAUCACUCAAAUAUUCAAAGUCAUGACAUCCGGUCGUCCGUCGCAUGUUGGUCAGAAAAAGAACAUACUGCCUCAGUGUGAUGGUUGAAGCGACGGUCCAUCGCUCAGCCUGACGGUCCGUCGCUCAGCCUGAUGGUCCAUCGGAUCAUCCAUUGCAUAUUGGCCAAGAUGAGGCUACACUACCUGAGAGCGACGGUCCCAGAGAUGGUCCGUCGGAUCGUUCGUCACUCUCAGUAAAACGAUCAUAACUUCUCACCCCAAUACCAAAUUUGGAAGAAAUUGGUAUCGUUGGAAAGCUAAUUCAACUCUCUACAUGACAAAAAGUCAAAUUUAAGAAAAUUCUAUAUGUUUUAAACACCAAUCACUUAGAAAUUCACUUCUCAAUCUUUUAGGGUCGGAAUUACACUUCGCUUGAAAUGCUCUAAGGAUCAAACUAUGAGGGAACUUUGUGGGUUCUUACAAUAUCUCCCCUUUGGAAAUAUUCAUCCUCGAAUGUCGCUAAUUAGACUAGGAACACAGGAAAAACAAAGUACACAUAGCUGAAGCAAUUUGCUAAACGGCUCAAAAUCUCUCUAAACUCUUGAAUACCUUAGUAAUUGCAAGAACUCAUACAAGAUAGAUACAUAGAUGAACUUUAGAUUAGAAGGGCUGAAUUAAGGAAGAACAAUACCUUUAGAUCUAUCUAAACUCAUGGAAAAGAUGUGCGGGUACUUGGCUCGCAUAUCUGCUUCUGGCUCCCAAGUAGCGCCCUCAACUGACUGGUUCUGCCACAAUACUUUGACCAAGGGAACCUUUUUGUUCCUCAGUCUAUGGAUCUGAAAAUCUAGGAUCGCAACAAAAAUCUCAUCGAAUGAAAGACCGUUCUGAAUAUCAGUACUCUCUGAGGGAUAUACUACAACAAAUCACCAAUAUGCUUUUAAAGUAUGGAGACAUGAAAUACAGAAUGAACAACUGACAACUCUGCAGGAAACUCAACCUCAUAGGCUACUUUACCAACAUGGAUCAAGACUCUAUACGGGCCAACAUAACGGGGACUAAGCUUUCCCUUUUUACCAAACCUCUUUACCCCUUUCAUGGGUGAAAUCUUUAAGUAUACCAAAUCACCUACCUCAAACUCAAGAUCUCUUUUCCUCGCAUCGGCAUAAGACUUUUGACGACUCUGAGCAGUCUUCAACCUCCCUCUAAUCAACUUAACUUUCUCCAUAGCUUCAAAUACUAGAUUAAGCCCAGUCAUGGUAGCUUCACCCACUUCAAACCAACCUAUGGGUGAUCUACAUCUCAUACCAUACAAGGCCUCAAAUGGUACCAUCCCAAUGCUAGCAUGGUAACUAUUGUUAUAGGCAAAAUCUAUCAAUGGCAAAUGCUCAUCCCAACUACCUUUGAAAUUAAAAGCACAUGCCCUCAACAUAUCUUUCAGGGUCUGAAUGGUCCUCUCAGCCUGACCAUCUGUCUGCGGAUGAAAAACGGAACUCAAAAGGACUUGGGUACCAAGAUCCUACUGGAAUGCCCUCCAAAAUUGAGAAGUAAAUUGAGUGCCCCUAUCUGAAAUGAUAGACGAGGGAACUCCAUGCAGCCUGACUAACUCUUGGAUAUACAAUCUAGCAUAAUCCUCAGCUGUAUAAGACGUGUGCACGGGCAAGAAAUGCGCGGACUUAGUCAGCCUAUCUACAAUAACCUAACUCUUGCAUCACACCACCAGGUCCUCGGUAAUCUACCUUAACCUUUUGGAAUGUUGCACACAUUGCUACGAAGUCGGCUAUAUCCUUUUUCAUACCAUUCCACUAAUAGAUCUCCCACAAGUUGCAGUACAUCUUGGUAACGCCGGAUGAAUGAAAUACCGCGCACCAUGCGCUUUAACCAUAAUCCUCUGCCUCAUAUCAUCAACACAUGGAAUGGACAAUCUAACCCGCAAUAUUAACACGCCAUCUCUCCCUUAGGAGAAAACCUCAACUUUUUGGUCCUUAACUGACUUUUUCAGUUGGACCAAACUAGGAUCUCUGUCUUGCUUCUCUUUCACUUUCGAAACUAAAGAGGAUUCGGAACUACUCCACACCAAAGUACUUUCCUCAGCUGAAUCAAGCAACCUAACACCCAAUCUAGCCAAAUAAUGCAAUCACGAGCUAACUCUUUCUUACUUUCCUCUAUAUGGGAAACACUACCCAUAGACAACCUGUUAAGGGCAUCCGCCACUACAUUGGCCUUGCCCAGGUGAUACAACACACUCAUAUCAUAUUCUUUUAACAACUCUAACUACCUUUUCUACCUAAGAUUCAACUCCCUCUGAGUAAACACAUACUGCAGGCUCUUAUGAUAAGUAAACACAUCAACAUGGACACCAUAAAGAUAAUGUCUCCAAAUUUUUCAAAGUAAAAACCACAACAGCUAAUUCAAGAUCAUGGGUCGGGUAAUUUUUCUUAUGCAGCUUCAACUGCCUAGAGGCAUAGGCUAUAACCUUACCUCUUUCCAUCAACACACAACCCAAGACAUCUCUAGAGGUAUCAGAAUACACCAUAAAAGCAUCUGUACCAUCAGGCAAAGUCAACACAGGGGCUGAAGUAAGUCGAGUCUUCAACUCUAGAAAUCUCUUCUCAUAGGAAUUUGACCACUGGAAUUUAAUUUACUUUUAAGUCAACCGGGUCAUAGGAGAUGCAAUAGAAGAGAAACCUUCAAUAAAACAAUGGUAGUAGCCCGUUAGACCCAAGAAACUUUUAAUGUCAGAUGGAGAGAUAGGUGUAGGCCAAUUUUUUACAGCUUCUGUCUUUUAGGGAUCAACUUUAAUACCUUCAGCUGAAACAAUAUGACCCAGAAAGGCUAUAGACCUUAUCCAAAAUUCAUACUUACUAAAUUUGGUAAACAACUGGUGAUCUCUAAGAGUUUGCAAGAUAAUUCUAAGGUGAUCUGCAUGAUCAUGCUCAUUGUGGGAGUAGACAAAGAUGUCAUCUAUGAAAUAUAACAAAUAUAUCUAGAAAUUGCUUGAACACUCGAUUCAUGAGGUCCAUAAAAUCUGUUGGGGCAUUGGUUAGCCCAAAAGGUUUGACUAGAAACUCAAAGUGACCAUAGCGAGUUCGGAAGGCUAUCUUUGGAAUAUCUAAUUCCCUCACUUUAAGUUGAUGAUAGUCAGAUCUAAGGUCUAUCUUGGAGAAAUAACUUGCACCUUGCAACUGAUCCAAUAGGUCAUCAAUUCUAGAAAGAGGAUACUUAUUUUUUACUGUGACCUUGUUAAGCUGACGAUAGUCAAUGUACAUAUGCAAAGAACCAUUUUUCUUUCGUACGAAUAAGACAGGUGUGCCCCAAGGAAAAAUACUGGGCCUAAUAAAAUCUGUAUAUAAAAGAUCUUUGAGUUGCUCUUUCAAAUCAUGUUGCUCUACAAGUACCAUAUGGUAUAGCGGAAUAAAAAUAUGAAAAGUAUUAAGAAGAAGGUCAAUCCCAAAUUCUAUCUCUCUAUCAAGAGGUACCCCUGGGUGAUAUUCCGGAAAAACAUCUGGAAACUCAUUAACAAUAUCGACUGACUAAAUAGUUAGAGCCUCGGACUUAGUAUCUUCAACUCUAACUAGGUGAUAGAUGCAAUCCUUGGAUAUUAGCUUUUUGGCUUUGAGAUAGAAGGUAAAAUGACUCUUGGGAGAUACCAAACUCCCGGACCACUCAAAAAAUGGCUCAUCAGGGAAUUGAAACCUGAUCACACGGGUACGACAGUCUAUAGAUGCAUAACAAGAAUGAAGCCAAUCCAUACCCAGAAUAAGGUCAAAAUCCACCAUGUCUAACUCUAUCAAAUCUGCAAGUGUGACUCUAUGAAAAGCAGUAAUAGGACAAUCUCUAUACACUUGUUUAGCAACAACUGACUCUCCUACUGGUGUGGAGACUAGGAAAGGCUCAGGAAUCCUUUUGGGACUCAUUUUAAAAGUCACAGUCACAAGUGGGGUCAUAUCUGAGAGACUUGACCCGAGGUCCAAAAACACAUAAACAUCAAAACAAAAGACAUGGAUCAUACCAUUAACAACAUCGGGAGAGUCCUCCUGCUCCUGACGGGAUGAUAAGGCAUAAAAUCUAUUUUGGCGCUGACUGCCAGUAGUGCUAGAUGAAGUGCCUUGAGUAGGGGCGGGAUGGGGUACAAGAGCUAGUGCACUAGUAGCCUGUGCCUGAGGUCGGGCAGCUUUGUUCCCCUGUCUAGCAUAAGAACAAUCUCUAAGUCUGUGGCCCUACUUGCUAUAAUAAAAACUACCCCUCAGAUCUACGAAACACUCACCAGGAUGAUCCCAACCACACUUAGCACAAGGGGGAUAGCAGGUCCUGUUACCAACAUUGUUCUACGAUCUACACAUAAAGGAUUUGCUCUCUUGAUCCUGCCUGCUUCUAGGUGUGAGAGUACUAGCUGAUGAAGGCAAUGGCAUAGAUAGAUGCCUCUAAAACUGAGGGUGGUUCCCUCCAUGGAACCUAGGCUGGUUGUACUCAUGCUGCUCAGAUCUAGCCUUCGUGUUACCCCUCAAUUGAUCUCUCUCCCUAAUCUUAUCCGCCUCUAUCUGCUGGGUAUGCAUCAUCAACCUAGCCAGAUCCAUAUCCCUUUGCAGUAUCACAAUCCUACACUCAUUCAGUACUAACCCAGAAAUGCCAGUCACGAACUUGCUCAUAGUAGCCCAGGUGUUAGAAAUCAAAUCAGGAGCAUACUUGGCCCACUGGUUGAACUUUACAAUACUCCUUAACAAUUAUGGAGCCCUGCCUAAAGUUUAUAAACUCCUCAAUAUUUGUUUCCCUCAUAUCAAGAAGAAAGAACUUAUCCAAGAAUGCAUCUUGAAACACCUGCCAAGUCAUAGGAGCGGCAUCCUCACCUCUAUCCAUCCUCCACGAUAUGACCCAGUCAUAAGCUAUGUCUAUCAACCUGUAAAACACCAACUUAAUACAUUCUUCCUCAGAAACAUGCAUCACCUACGUGAUAUUUGUCACCUCCUCAAGGUACAACUGUGGAUCCUUACCUGCCUUGGACCCAUAAAACUCUUGCAGAUUCAUCCAUAUAAAAUCAUGAAUCUUAGCCGCAGCUACAUCUCCUCCCUGUUGUUUAGCAACUGUAACCUGGUUAUUGGCCCAAACAUUAGCGGUGACUGCUUGGGCUAAUGCCUGAAAUGCCACCUGAAACUUAGCAUGAGACAUAGUCUCAUUCAAAG
RNAcentral lists this long non-coding RNA (16749 nucleotides) under Capsicum annuum. Its description in RNAcentral is "long non-coding RNA (CANN_LNC015576)". The record is from RNAcentral. Lineage: Eukaryota; Viridiplantae; Streptophyta; Magnoliopsida; Solanales; Solanaceae.